UACGAAGGUCCCAAGCGUUAUCCGGAUUUAUUGGGUUUAAAGGGUGCGUAGGCGGGCUAUUAAGUCAGUGGUGAAAUCUCCGAGCCUAACUCGGAAACUGCCAUUGAUACUGAUGGUCUUGAGUACAUUUGAGGUGGGCGGAAUGUGUCAUGUAGCGGUGAAAUGCUUAGAUAUGACACAGAACACCGAUUGCGAAGGCAGCUCACUAAACUGUAACUGACGCUGAGGCACGAAAGCGUGGGGAGCAAACAGG
This 253-nucleotide ribosomal RNA is filed under the name uncultured bacterium. Its description in RNAcentral is "partial 16S ribosomal RNA". It matches the Rfam family "Bacterial small subunit ribosomal RNA", at positions 524 to 776 of the family's 1533-position model. The record is from RNAcentral.